Molecule: long non-coding RNA, 274 nt
Organism: Telopea speciosissima
Lineage: Eukaryota; Viridiplantae; Streptophyta; Magnoliopsida; Proteales; Proteaceae
Exons: 3
Source: RefSeq, a predicted model, not a curated record
UUGUUGUUUCAAGGUCAAUCUAUUCACUCGUCUAGAUAAAAUUUUUCAUUGUUCACUAAUAAAUCGACUAAUUAAACUCAUGUUUCUAUAAUCAAUUCGAUCCCCCGAUCCAAUUGGGGGCAAACGCCUACGAAAAGAUCGCUUAGAUUUAAGAAAGGGUCGCUUGGAUUUUUCCAUGGUUUAUUCCUUAUCUCUAAAAUCCUAUUUCUGAAUUCUAAUUCAAGUUUUUGUUUAUCCGACCGAAAUAGGAUAGGAUUUGUUAGAAUAUAUCUAU